Molecule: transfer RNA, 72 nt
Filed under: Erronea caurica
Lineage: Eukaryota; Metazoa; Mollusca; Gastropoda; Littorinimorpha; Cypraeidae
Description: tRNA-Leu
Rfam family: tRNA
About the family: Transfer RNA (tRNA) molecules are approximately 80 nucleotides in length. Their secondary structure includes four short double-helical elements and three loops (D, anti-codon, and T loops). Further hydrogen bonds mediate the characteristic L-shaped molecular structure. tRNAs have two regions of fundamental functional importance: the anti-codon, which is responsible for specific mRNA codon recognition, and the 3' end, to which the tRNAs corresponding amino acid is attached (by aminoacyl-tRNA synthetases). tRNAs cope with the degeneracy of the genetic code in two manners: having more than one tRNA (with a specific anti-codon) for a particular amino acid; and 'wobble' base-pairing, i.e. permitting non-standard base-pairing at the 3rd anti-codon position.
Source: RNAcentral
UGUCAGAUUAGCAAAGAUUAAUGCAAUUGAUUUAGGAUCAAUAGAGAUAGGUGAAAAUCCUUUAUUUGAUAU